RNAcentral lists this ribosomal RNA (496 nucleotides) under Marinobacter sp. enrichment culture clone NKiA5A2. RNAcentral's name for it is "bacterial SSU rRNA". It matches the Rfam family "Bacterial small subunit ribosomal RNA", at positions 1 to 494 of the family's 1533-position model. The record is from RNAcentral. Lineage: Bacteria; Pseudomonadati; Pseudomonadota; Gammaproteobacteria; Pseudomonadales; Marinobacteraceae.
UAGAGUUUGAUCCUGGCUCAGAUUGAACGCUGGCGGCAGGCUUAACACAUGCAAGUCGAGCGGUAACAGGUCCAGCUUGCUGGAUGCUGACGAGCGGCGGACGGGUGAGUAAUGCAUAGGAAACUGCCCAAUAGUGGGGGAUAGCCCGGGGAAACCCGGAUUAAUACCGCAUACGUCCUACGGGAGAAAGCAGGGGCUCUUCGGACCUUGCGCUAUUGGAUGUGCCUAUGUCGGAUUAGCUAGUUGGUGGGGUAAAGGCCUACCAAGGCGACGAUCCGUAGCUGGUCUGAGAGGAUGAUCAGCCACAUCGGGACUGAGACACGGCCCGAACUCCUACGGGAGGCAGCAGUGGGGAAUAUUGGACAAUGGGGGCAACCCUGAUCCAGCCAUGCCGCGUGUGUGAAGAAGGCUUUCGGGUUGUAAAGCACUUUCAGUGAGGAGGAAAACCUUAUGGUUAAUACCCAUGAGGCUUGACGUUACUCACAGAAGAAGCACG